RNAcentral lists this ribosomal RNA (679 nucleotides) under Pycnococcus provasolii. Its description in RNAcentral is "SSU rRNA". It matches the Rfam family "Eukaryotic small subunit ribosomal RNA", at positions 626 to 1309 of the family's 1831-position model. The record is from RNAcentral. Lineage: Eukaryota; Viridiplantae; Chlorophyta; Pseudoscourfieldiophyceae; Pseudoscourfieldiales; Pycnococcaceae.
GCUCGUAGUUGGAUUUCGGGCGUGGAGGUUCGGUCCGCCGUUUCGGUGUGCACUGUCUUUCUGCGUCUUUCUGUCGGGGACGCGCUUCUGGCCUUAAUUGGCUGGGACGUGGAUUCGACGAGGUUACUUUGAAAAAAUUAGAGUGUUCAAAGCAAGCUAAAGCUCUGAAUACAUUAGCAUGGAAUAACGCGAGAGGACUCGGUCCUUAUUUUGUUGGUCUUCAAGGAUGGAGUAAUGAUUAAGAGGGACAGUUGGGGGCAUUCGUAUUUCAUUGCUAGAGGUGAAAUUCUUGGAUUUAUGAAAGACGAACUUCUGCGAAAGCAUUUGCCAAGGAUGUUUUCAUUGAUCAAGAACGAAAGUUGGGGGCUCGAAGAUGAUCAGAUACCAUCCUAGUCUCAACCAUAAACGAUGCCGACUAGGGAUUGGCAGGUGUUACAUCGAUGACUCUGCCAGCACCUUAUGAGAAAUCAAAGUUUUUGGGUUCCGGGGGGAGUAUGGUCGCAAGGCUGAAACUUAAAGGAAUUGACGGAAGGGCACCACCAGGAGUGGAGCCUGCGGCUUAAUUUGACUCAACACGGGGAAACUUACCAGGUCCAGACAUAGUAAGGAUUGACAGAUUGAGAGCUCUUUCUUGAUUCUAUGGGUGGUGGUGCAUGGCCGUUCUUAGUUGGUGGAGUGA